AUUUGCGCAGGAUAGGUGGGAGGCUUUGAAGAUAUUCUUGCGGGAAUAUUGGAGCCGUUGUUGAGAUACCACUCUUGUAAAGCUAGAAUUCUACCUUAUACCGUUAUCCGGUUAAGGAACAUUCUCUGGUGGGCAGUUUGACUGGGGCGGUCGCCUCCUAAAAGGUAACGGAGGCGCACAAAGGUUUCCUCAGAUCGGUCAGAAAUCGAUCGUAGAGCGUAAAGGCAUAAGGAAGCUUGACUGCGAGACUUACAAGUCGAGCAGAGACGAAAGUCGGUCUUAGUGAUCUGACGGUUCCGAGUGGAAGGGCCGUCACUCAACGGAUAAAAGUUACUCUAGGGAUAACA
This 347-nucleotide ribosomal RNA is filed under the name uncultured eukaryote. Its description in RNAcentral is "LSU rRNA". It matches the Rfam family "Bacterial large subunit ribosomal RNA", at positions 2132 to 2479 of the family's 2925-position model. The record is from RNAcentral.